AAUAUAGUCCAUUCUCUAGACAGGAGAAGGAGUGGGGGGAAAGAGAUUUAUCUAUACAUAAGCACGAUGGUUUGGGCAACUGUACUGUGCAUUUCUG
Long non-coding RNA from Octodon degus (degu), 97 nucleotides. RefSeq lists it as uncharacterized. Lineage: Eukaryota; Metazoa; Chordata; Mammalia; Rodentia; Octodontidae. The transcript has 3 exons. The record is from RefSeq and is a predicted model, not a curated record.